AAUAAAUUGAAUAUCACAUUGACUGUUGUUGAGCACCAUAAAUUACAUAAUCAGAUUGUAAGAAUCAACACAUGAUUGUCAUGCAAACCUUGAUCUCCUUCCCUAUAAAUAUCAGUACACACUCUACAAUUAGCAGUAAUACAACUAGUUAUAGAGCAAGAAACAUAAUCUACGACAACCAAAUCUCCAUAUAUACUAGCUAGAAUAAAAAUGACAAUAAAAUAUUAAAAAAUAGAAAUAAAGUAUAAGUAGCGAAAAAGACUUCUAGUACCAUGUGAUACCAAUAUGGUAUAUAUGUAUACCAACAACGCAUAUGAUUUCUCUAAAAUAUUGCUACAACUAUCUGCGACUAUACUACUCUACCAAACCAUUAAGGAACACAAUAAAAGUAUGAGAAAAUUACAUGCUCGUAUUGCAAACUAAAUAUUCGCAAAACAACUUUCUCAUUUCAUAUAUUAAGAGGCUAUAUAGUUGAAUGGGGUCGUUCCAACAAUUGCCUAUAAAUAUAAAAACUAUUAAUACACUUAAUUUUUGUCCAUCGUUAUGGGGUCGUUCCAACAAUUGCCUAUAACUAUAAAAACUAUUAAUACACUUAAUUUAUUCCAUCAGCACACAAAAAUUCUAGCAUUAUUGCAACUCAUGUUGAUAUAAAUAAUUUCAUAAUAGAAUUCAGUUAAAAUGCAGCUAAAACAACCAAAAUAAUGUUCAAACUACCAUAUGAUACCAAUAUGGCAUAUAAAUAUACCAACAUAGUAUACAGUUUUACUAGUUAAUUCCUGACAACUAUAUGACUAUACUACUAUUACAUAACACACAUGCAUAAAGAGAAAAAUAAGAAAUAGUGUACCACAUAUUAAUAUAAUAAGGUAUUUCAAGAUAUUGUACUAUAUUACUAUUAUUAAAAGAAAAUUAAAUAUUGUACCAAUUAAACGUAGCUAAUACAACUGAAAAAUGAUUCAACUAGCAUAUGAUAUAGUAUAUAGAUAUACUAAUAGGGUAUGUAGUUAUAUUAAAAUUAUUUAAAAAAAAUCAAAUAUUGUACCAAUUAAAUGCAGCUAAUACAACUAAAAAAUGAUUCAAAUAGCAUAUGAUACCAAUAUAGUAUAAAGCUAUACUAGUUGGAAUAAAUUGUAUACCAAAAUGGUAUAUUUGUAUACUUAGUAUAUAAUACAAAUUCGUCAUCUUCUCUUGUUCAACUAUAUUUCAACCCAAAUUUCUAAAAUCUACUACAAGUUAAAAUCUCCAUAUCAAAUUGACUAAAGCUUUAGCUACAACCUCCAAUCAACUUUCCAAACAAACACAUACAUGAUCGGAUCAAAACAAUUAAAAACUCAAAAAAAUCAAGUUAUGAGUUUCAAGUUUCAAGAUGAUGGAUUUAAUUUUCUCACAAUAAAAUCUUUGAAAAUUAGCAUUACAUCAUAAUCAAAGAACAAUACCCAAUAAAUUUCAACAACAAGCACUUCAAAACACAUAUGAAAAUUCAAAUUUAAGUUAUAUAGUAUAUAUUAUUUCUUAUUUUACUUUUAAAAGAUAAAAUAAACUAUGGAGCACAAAUAAAAAAAAGGGUAAUGAUAGCAUAAAAAGGUACAAUACUAACACACUGUCGAGCUAACUAUUCUUUGGCUUCUUUUUAGGAUUUUCACUUUUGCUGCUUACAUUAAAUAUGUCUACCGCAAGCAAGAAUUGGGUUAGGCAGGUAAUUAGUUAUAAUAGAAUAUGAAUUAAUGUAAUUACUUUUAAAAUGGGCAAUUACAGGUAAUUACUUUUGAUUAGGUAGGUAUGUAGGGUAGUUUUCCCCUAUAUGUUACAUUCUCCAAGUGGAACAAAACGUCACUAAUAUACAAAAACAUAACAAUAGAAAUCAUUGAGAAACAAAGUUGUUGGCUGUUCCCCUCAGUUGGAUGUUGGAGAUGAGAAAUUUGAGACUCUGUUGGUGACUUUGGUCCCAAAAGUUUAAUGCUGUGUCCAUACACUGAUGCUUCUUCUUUCGUAGCAUUCAACAAUGACCUUAACUAUAUACAUUGAUAAUGUAAAUUUUCAACAUUAUCUGCUCGCUUGAAAUGUAAUUGCAGGUAACUCUACAUAAAACAAUUGAACUACUAACCUAAACAAUAACACAAGCUGCAACCUUAUGCACUAGGUUAAAUUGCAAUGGAGUGUAAAUAUUUAAUUGUAUUAUCAGUAAAUAAAAGCUAAAGUCCUACAGUUUCAUCGUAUACAAGACUGCAAGUUUGCCUUUUUGAAAAAGUUGGGUUUUCAUGCGCAUAAUUUGUUAAUCUAAUUUAAUAAUGUUGUCCGUCAAAAUAACCUAUUUGAUCAAUUUAGCACAGAGGGAAUGUAAUACAAAAAACUUGGUAAAUGCACUUGUAAUUAGCGGAAAGGAGAAAACACAUGAAAUGAUGAAGUUGACUGAUCUUAACAUUUUCAAAUAAGGAAACUGAGUUGUUGUAAAGAAAAAGGGACAAUCUUAUCGACACUUUACAUAAGAAUAAUUUAUUAAUUUGGUUUAAGGUAUAUUGAAAUAAAAUAUAAAAAUUGCGGUUUAUGGAACACAGAAAAAGAUAUGUAAAAAUGGUAGCCAUUUUGGUAAUGAGAAAAUUAGUGGUUGAUGCCAUAGACCACACAAAAAUGUAUGAGGAAACAAGACAAUUAAUCUGACGGUGCGUUAUGUUUCCGCUAUAUACAAAAGCUUACGUGGGUGUUCUUGUAUAUAUAAGAGUUUAAGAAAAGAGUUGGACCACAUUUUUGGGGAAAAAAGGUUUUGUUUAUGUAAAUUGAAAACAUAUAGUGAAAAAUCUAUAUUUUAGGCGUAAGUGCGUGUAUACAAACAAUUAAUACUAACCAACAUUCUUUCGGGACCAAAGUCACCAACAACGUAUCAUCUUCUGCUUCUUCUUCAAUUUCCCCUUAGCAUAUCGAGUGGGGCAAAUUCGACUACUUUUAUAGAUUAGUUCUACCAUGUCACAACCGUACAAUUUUUUACAACAAUACUAGCAAGUACACUGAUUGUACUACAAGUAGUAAAAUCUUGUCCAUUUUAUUAAAGUACCAAGUUUUUCU
Molecule: long non-coding RNA, 3060 nt
Filed under: Nicotiana benthamiana
Lineage: Eukaryota; Viridiplantae; Streptophyta; Magnoliopsida; Solanales; Solanaceae
Description: long non-coding RNA (NBEN_LNC038295)
Source: RNAcentral